This 251-nucleotide ribosomal RNA is filed under the name uncultured bacterium. RNAcentral's name for it is "partial 16S ribosomal RNA". It matches the Rfam family "Bacterial small subunit ribosomal RNA", at positions 57 to 305 of the family's 1533-position model. The record is from RNAcentral.
GCAAGUCGAGGGGUAACAUUUCAGCUUGCUGACGAUGACGACCGGCGCACGGGUGAGUAACGCGUAUGCAAUCUACCUUGUACUGGGGGAUAGCCCGGAGAAAUCAGGAUUAAUACCGCAUAAUAUGUUUGAUUCGCAUGGAUUGAUUAUUAAAGUUUAGGGGGUACAAGAUGAGCAUGCGUAGCAUUAGUUAGUUGGUAAGGUAACGGCUUACCAAGACGAUGAUGCUUAGGGGGUCUGAGAGGAUAGUC